GGGGGCAGUGACCACUGGCUCCAACAGCAGAGGGAGGGACCUGGACUGAUGACUGACGACCAAGACUACUGCAGCUUCAGCGCCAUCUGCUGCUCCCUCCUGGCUCUUUAACAGAACACUUUUAGAUUUAAACGUGUGCUUGUCUGAGGUUCUGAUACAGAGUCCUCGGCUGGUUUUGGUGCCAGUGUUCACUCAGGUUGAAUGGCAUUACUUGUCAGACACACUUGGACUGUUUUAGACCUGGACUGACCGCAGUCAUGUGACCAGGUGACUGAGGUCCGGACCAACUCCAUGUCUGAAUGUUGUCUGUCUUUAUCGCCUGUUUGUGUCUGUGACUUUAACAACAGUAAUGUUUCUAAACCACUCGCUGUCCAACACCAAGUCCAGUGACUCUAGCUCACAGAGACUCAUUGGCUGUUGGUCCACUGCUGCCUCCUCUGGUCAGUUUGUGUCACUGAGGUCAAGCUGAAAAAGAAAAAAAACUCAAACAUUAAAUUAAACAAACUUAGUUUGAGUUGGAGGCAGCAGUGGACCAACAGCUAGACUUGAUUUCAUCAGAUCAGUUUUCACUGAUAAUGCUAACAGUAGUUCUGCACACAAACACAUGUUCAAAACCCUAAACUGUUCCUUUAAGUGACUCAUGUUUGUCCCAUUGAGGUUAGAACCAAUCAUUGAUCUAUGAAAAUCAGAAUUUUCUUCUUUUUUAUCACUGCAGCCGUUU
Long non-coding RNA from Cynoglossus semilaevis (tongue sole), 721 nucleotides. RefSeq lists it as uncharacterized. The record is from RefSeq and is a predicted model, not a curated record. Lineage: Eukaryota; Metazoa; Chordata; Actinopteri; Pleuronectiformes; Cynoglossidae. The transcript has 2 exons.